This 212-nucleotide long non-coding RNA is filed under the name Elaeis guineensis (African oil palm). Its description in RNAcentral is "long non-coding RNA (EGUI_LNC062525)". The record is from RNAcentral. Lineage: Eukaryota; Viridiplantae; Streptophyta; Magnoliopsida; Arecales; Arecaceae.
UGGGGAGGUUCAUCCACUAGAGGAGUUUGGGGAUCCUGUGGAAGUCUGGAUGGCGUUGUGGAAGUCCGACUGACGCUAUUGAAGGCUGAUGGCUAGGGAGGUUUGGCAGACACUGGAGGUGAUCGGUCAUUGUAGAAAUCUAGCUAUUGGAGCCUGUCUGUUGUAGAAGCUCAUCUGAAAUCCAUCCGCUGUGGAAGUUCAGAUAGAGUCCA